AUUGAUUUUAUGCUUGCAUAAAUGAUUUUUGGAUUCGGAGCGAGUGGCGAACUGGUGAGUAACACGUGGGUAACCUGCCCCGAAGCGGGGGAUAACAUUUGGAAACAAGUGCUAAUACCGCAUAAUUAGUUGGAACCGCAUGGUUCCAACUUGAAAGAUGGCUCUGCUAUCACUUUGGGAUGGACCCGCGCCGUAUUAGUUAGUUGGUGAGAUAAAAGCCCACCAAGACGAUGAUACGUAGCCGACCUGAGAGGGUAAUCGGCCACAUUGGGACUGAGACACGGCCCAGACUCCUACGGGAGGCAGCAGUAGGGAAUCUUCCACAAUGGACGAAAGUCUGAUGGAGCAACGCCGCGUGAGUGAUGAAGGUUUUCGGAUCGUAAAACUCUGUUGUUAAAGAAGAACAAGUGUUAGAGUAACUGUUAACACUUUGACGGUAUUUAACCAGAAAGCCACGGCUAACUACGUGCCAGCAGCCGCGGUAAUACGUAGGUGGCAAGCGUUGUCCGGAUUUAUUGGGCGUAAAGCGAGCGCAGGCGGUUUUGUAAGUCUGCUGUGAAAGCCCUCAGCUCAACUGAGGAAGUGCAGUGGAAACUACAAAACUUGAGUACAGAAGAGGAAAGUGGAACUCCAUGUGUAGCGGUGAAAUGCGUAGAUAUAUGGAAGAACACCAGUGGCGAAGGCGGCUUUCUGGUCUGUUACUGACGCUGAGGCUCGAAAGCAUGGGUAGCGAACAGGAUUAGAUACCCUGGUAGUCCAUGCCGUAAACGAUGAAUACUAGGUGUUGGAGGGUUUCCGCCCUUCAGUGCCGCAGCUAACGCAUUAAGUAUUCCGCCUGGGGAGUACGACCGCAAGGUUGAAACUCAAAGGAAUUGACGGGGGCCCGCACAAGUGGUGGAGCAUGUGGUUUAAUUCGAUGCUACGCGAAGAACCUUACCAGCUCUUGACAUCUUCUGCUAACCCAAGAGAUUGGGCGUUCCCUUCGGGGACAGAAUGACAGGUGGUGCAUGGUUGUCGUCAGCUCGUGUCGUGAGAUGUUGGGUUAAGUCCCGCAACGAGCGCAACCCUUAUUAUUAGUUGCCAGCAUUUAGUUGGGCACUCUAGUGAGACUGCCGGUGAUAAA
RNAcentral lists this ribosomal RNA (1123 nucleotides) under uncultured bacterium. RNAcentral describes it as "bacterial SSU rRNA". It matches the Rfam family "Bacterial small subunit ribosomal RNA", at positions 47 to 1162 of the family's 1533-position model. The record is from RNAcentral.